CCCCGGAUCCUACCCUCUAGGACUAUUGUCCGGGUAAAUGAGAUAAUGAACAAGUACUUUGAAAAGGAUGUCGUUGUUUAAUCAAGCAGUUUCUGUGACCUCACCAAGAUAGGUCAAAGAGAGGUCCAUGCCUGCUUCCACCCACUAGGCGUUCACGCCACGACUCACCCCGCUUACUCCUUCACCAAGCUCAUAGACUGCUCUCUUGUUACAUUUUUCUUAUUGCAUUACACAUUUGAUUGGAUUUACACAUUUAAUAUACAGCAAUGACUCAUCACUGCUGUUGAGUAUAGGAAGCUCCAUUUCUACUCUCUUUGGGAGAUUUCUUUAUUUCCAACCUAAGCCCUUCUUAUCAGAGAGAAGAAGACAGUCUUAAGGGAACCAGGUGCCCCCUCAAACACAGGCCAUGAGAGUCAGAGGGCCACCCUCCUGCCUGGUCUCCAUGAUACAGAGAGGUGUGGUCCCUGGCACGGCACCGCAGACUCUCUUCCACCUCUAACCACACGGGGAGAAGAAUACAGACGGCUUCUCAGCACUCACCGUGAUUCUCAGCAUCAGUGGAAACACAAACCCAGGGGCAGGCAAAGAGCUAAGGCUUCUGAGAAGAGGGGUUUAGGAGCCUAUCGACUGUCUGGAGAGACGGAUUGGCCCUUCCAAAGGGUUUAUCUCUUGCUUUCCUCCUACCUUGCUUCCUUGCUUAAGAAGAGCACAGCCAAGCGCAAGGCCACUGGAAUUUUGUCACAGAGUAGGGGGUUUCCAACAACAGGAGGAGCCUUUUAACCCCUUUGUGGUUUAUUCUUGCGUACCUUGGAAUCUCCAGCACUUACCAAUUCUGGCAAAUUGUUUAAUCUUUAAGCCUACGUUUCCUGAUUUGUAAAAGAGGGUGAGGAUAGUGCCUACAUCUACAGGUUGUAGUGAAGAGUAGAUGAUGGGACUCAAGGCAAACGCUCAAGGAUUGUCAGCUGUGUUUGUAGCUUCAGAGUUUUACUGGUUACAAACAUGUGGAAAUAAAGCCUCUCACUUGCUAUCACAAAGGAAAAAUGUAUGAGACCCAGGUGCACUGCUCCCCGCCUACACUCUGACCCAUCUCUGUUCCCUUGGACAUUGGCUCGCUCUGCUCCACUGACCUCCUGGAAUUUUUUCGGACACAUCAAGCAUACGGGCAUUUACCUUUGCUGUUUCUUCUGCCUAGAAUAUUUCACUCCUGAAUAUCCUCAUGACUUGCUCCAUCACUAUUCUGAUAUUUGCUCAAAUUUAAUUUAUUGGAGAGAGACUUUGCUCUCCAAACAAUCUCAAAUGGGACCCCCACUAACUCAGCCACUGUCUCUCUUUCCUCUGUUAUUUGCCUUUUUACUACUACCUGCAUGUUACGUAUUUACUUAUUAAUAUAUUUAUUACCUAGCUCCCCUGCUAAAAUGUAAGAUCCAUGAAAGGAAGUGUUUUGUCUUUUGUUGUUGUUGUUGAUUGCAGCAUUUCUAAUAUCUAAAAUGGUACCGAAAUACAGUAAGCCUCUGCUAAAUAUCAAUUAAAUGAACGAACUAAUAAAACUUAUACAAAAUUCCCAUCUUA
Long non-coding RNA from Equus caballus (horse), 1569 nucleotides. The record is from Ensembl. NCBI's taxonomy places the organism in Eukaryota, Metazoa, Chordata, Mammalia, Perissodactyla, Equidae.